UCUCCGGUCACUUUCUUCUUUUUCAGAGAACGAAUUUGAUUUUGGGUUUUCAGAUCUGGCAGUGAUUUUCAGAGCUCAAUCAUCAAUCAUGGUGGUUAUCGUUUGUUGAAUUACAACAUCAUCAAAAACCAGAUCUCGUCUUCUCGUCGAUCGCGCUUUGUAAUAGGUUAUCUCCGUUAAGAACGUCAACGCCAGAUUUCUUUAGUAAAAGGUGCUCUAUAUAAACUAGGAAUCCGUGUUUGUAGAAGGAAGCUGAGUACAGUGUAUGAGAACCAUCCAAAGUUCAACUUGUCACAACACGCUAGUGCUCUUGAUGGAUUCUCGUGUCAAGAUAGGUUUUUAAGCUCAAGUUUCCUUUACUCAUUGCUCACACAGAAACCUAGUUCUGAAGGAGCACCAGGUGCUGCAAGAUAUGCAUUGAAACUUUAAUGGUAUAUAUUUAUCUUCAUGCAGCUGGGAUUUUUAUGAUUUGACCCCCAGUUAUUUUCAUGACACAUUCUUAGAAGCUUUGUAAUUACUAACAUGAAUAGUUGCAGCUUCUCGAUGCACUUCAAAACAACAUGAACAGUUGCAGCUUCUCGACUACACCAUAACUAUGGUUCGAUGGUUGUGUAUGAAGUGCAUUUAGAAAUCGCGAGAGACUUUUUUUUGAAGUUUAUGAGUACAUUAAUUUGUAUGUCAGUAUUGCAACUUUUGUUUAUUUUGACACAUUCA
This is a long non-coding RNA of Papaver somniferum (opium poppy), 714 nucleotides long. RefSeq lists it as uncharacterized. Lineage: Eukaryota; Viridiplantae; Streptophyta; Magnoliopsida; Ranunculales; Papaveraceae. The record is from RefSeq and is a predicted model, not a curated record. The transcript is spliced from 3 exons.